RNAcentral lists this ribosomal RNA (253 nucleotides) under uncultured bacterium. Its description in RNAcentral is "partial 16S ribosomal RNA". It matches the Rfam family "Bacterial small subunit ribosomal RNA", at positions 524 to 776 of the family's 1533-position model. The record is from RNAcentral.
UACGAAGGGGGCUAGCGUUGCUCGGAAUCACUGGGCGUAAAGCGCACGUAGGCGGCUUCUUAAGUCAGGGGUGAAAUCCUGGAGCUCAACUCCAGAACUGCCCUUGAUACUGAGGAGCUCGAGUCCGGAAGAGGUGAGUGGAACUGCGAGUGUAGAGGUGAAAUUCGUAGAUAUUAGGAAGAACACCGGUGGCGAAGGCGGCCCUCUGGAACGGUACUGACGCUGAGACGCGAAAGCGUGGGGAGCGAACAGG